This 92-nucleotide transfer RNA is filed under the name Planotetraspora mira. RNAcentral's name for it is "tRNA-Gly". Lineage: Bacteria; Bacillati; Actinomycetota; Actinomycetes; Streptosporangiales; Streptosporangiaceae. The record is from RNAcentral.
GCUGCCCUCGGCCGACGGAACCGAGGUCGCCGCCUUCCACGCGGUGCCCGGCGGCGCGUCCAGGGUGGGAGUUCUCGUCCUCCCGGACAACC